Molecule: long non-coding RNA, 4133 nt
Filed under: Daphnia magna
Lineage: Eukaryota; Metazoa; Arthropoda; Branchiopoda; Diplostraca; Daphniidae
Description: uncharacterized LOC123466811, transcript variant X1
Source: RNAcentral
GGGGUUAAGACCUCUUAUGAACUCAGAUACUUCAAUAUCAACAAUGAGGAAGAGGAUGAUGAUGAUGACAAGGAAUAAGUUCGUCUCCCCGUUGUUUCGUUUUUUCUGUAAAGGUUAUUUUUACAUAAAAAAAUUGUCAGUAUUAAGAUUAUUCGUAUGGAACUUUAGUAGGCUGUGUACGAAGGGAAUUAUAAUUUUGCAUUAAGAAGAUUCCAGGUUAUGAAGGAACUUGGUCUAAACAUUUGCUAGUAAGAUGUCGGAUCCAUUCAUGUGGUUGCAUGUUUCGAUUUGACCAAUAACUCGUAUCAGACAUGAAGGCUGGGAAGACAGUGAAAGUGAAGUAAAUGCAUUCUGCGUAAAGCAAUCGACCUUCAAUACAACUGUUAUCAAAUUGAGGCAAGUAAAAUAUAAUUAAGUGAAACUAAGCUAAUUUUCUAGAUCUCGAGUAAUAUUUUGUAAAUAUUUAUCUAAACUCAAAAUUGAAAGCCAGACAACAAGUAAUGGAAUGUCAUGUAUAUUUCUCAAUUUACAAAAAUUUCAUCACUUGAAUCAUAACAAAGAGCUUUAUCGACGAUUCAAAUCUAAAUCUUCCAUGAAGGAAGUUAAGUUCAGCCGAAUCUUUUUACUGCCUUGACUUACGCAUUGAAGAAGAUUCAUCAUCUGCCUAGUGAGUAUAUUCCUUCAACAAAGGCAUAAACAAAAUUAUUAGCUGCUGACGACGCGAAUUUCUUAAAUUAAAGACAACGGUAUUAAUGCUAAAUUUGAUUGAGUUACCGUUUGUUCUUGAAUCCAUUUUUCCAAAGAAUUUUCAGGUAAAUAAUAUGCCUUUAUGUAUGUUUCGACAAUAUGUGGGUCAGGAAGAGGUCUUAGACGUGUCAAGCUUUCCACUUUGACUUGAAAAUGCCUGAAGUCUAACUGCAUUAGUGCACGACCUUCGUUCGUGCAUUUCCUUACAGCGGAAAAUCUAAAGAAUUUCAAAUCGGAUACGGUCUUACAUAAAGGAGGCAGAAUCUGAGGGUAACAGACACGAAGGACACUCAAGUCGUAGUCACUGAGAACCUGCGAAAGAAAUAAGAAUUACAUCAUAGAUGGAAUAUGAUUUUUAUAGCUUUUGUUUCAACAAGAUAUAUGAAGAUAUCUGAGGGAGCAAUUUUUGGAACAAUUGGACAACAGUCUAAACCGUGUUUCCACAGAGAAUUAGGAAUACUAUAUGGACAAUCACUGUUAAACAUUUGUAACUUUUCCAAAUAACGUGUUUUGGCCUCAAUACUAAGUCCACUGGCAUAAUUAGACAGUGACAUAGUUAAACACUAACACUAUAACGAACUAAUAAAUAAAGAAAACACAUCAGAAAUUCAAAACAACCCCCUUUUCUAUCACUGUUUUUUUUCUAAAUUAAUAUUUCGCAGAACUACACAAGUCACUCGUAGCAGACGAAAAAAUACAUGAGUUGCUGCGUUUCACGAUUUCAACAAAUCUUAAAAAAGAUGUCGAACAGCCCUUAUUUUGAGUUACUACUGCAACAAAUUACUUCUAAAGCAAAUUACGUCUGAAUAAUAGUUGCAAUGGGCAAGUGUUCUAGUGGAUAAAGUUAUUUGUGAAUAAUGUUAUUCAUGAAAAUUAUUAUUACUGAACAACUUACUUGUGAUAAUAUGUUACUUAUGAAUAUAUGUAAAAAAUAAUUAAUUUUCAUUUACUAGUAAAACAAAUUACUUCUAAAGCAAAUUACUUCUGAAUAAUAGUUGCAAUGGGCAAAAGUUCUAGUGGAUAUAUUUAUUUGUAAAUAAUGUUACCUAUGAAAAUGUUAAGUAUAAAUGAUGUUAUUUCGUGUUACUUGUAAAACAAAUUACAUCUGAAACAUAGUUGCAAUGGGAAAAAGUUCUAGUGGAUAUAUUUAUCUGUGAAUCAUGUUACUAAUGAGAAAAUUUUUAUUUUGUUAUUUAUGGCAUUAAUUACCAAUGGACAUUUUUACUUGUAAAAAUAAUAUAGCUUUACUUAUACAUAUUUUUAUCAAUGGAAAUUUUUAUUUAUGGAACAUUGUAUUUCUGAAAACAUUUACUUGUGAACAGACGAAAUUUUAUUUUUACUUAUGAGCGUUGUUACUAGUGAGAAUACGUCACUCUGCAACGAUCCCCGUGCAAACGAAAGCAUGAUGUGCGUUUGAAUGGGAAGAAAACAAGUAACUUUAAGAAUUUCCUGCCGAUUCCACGGCAUUUCAUUAUUUUCGAAAAAUACUGGUGAUGACAUCACCAGCAUGAUCCUGUCUCCAUCGCUCCCAACACAUCGGUCUGUGAAGUGAUUACAACGGCUAAUUUUCUAGGGAAUUCGUCAGCCCAUUUUUGUGCAAUGGAUUCCACCGAUUUUGCCAGGACCCAUGUUUUGGGAAUCUAACGAACGAAAUUCUCAUUUCUCUGCUACUGACAAAUCAGUAAGCUCCUAAAUAAUUUUUUUCUCCAUUCAAUUUUCGAAUUUCUUCUGCAGCUUUACGACCCAAGUUUGAGUGAUCGUUUUGAGUUUAGUUGGCUCUAUGUAUUGUUAACUGUUGUAAAAAUAGACCAGCACCUGAAUGCAAUAAAUCAGAAAUUACUGAUGUAUUGCUAUUUCUUGUGGUCCUUUGUUCGUAAUUGAUUAAACGAUGGAUCGAAAAACAGUUUAGGUUGUUCAAUUAAACAAAUGCAACAAAUUUUAACUUUUAAUUGCACUAGAUUUCCCUUGUUCCUUUGAAAUGUUAAGCAUUUUGGCCGUUUUUUAAAUAAUUGGAACAAAAGUGCCUGUGGCGCAAAAUAUUUGUUUAUCGGUUUCUUACGUUUAUUGAAAAAACCUCAAGUCCAAGAUAAAAACGAAAUCUAUUUUCUUGAUCCUCGUCAAAUUUUGAGUGGAAAACAUGCAUUUUUAACUAUAUCUAGAAUUUGUCAAAAAAUGAAAAAGUGGGAAGGCUAUACCCUUCUCACUUUUGUCAAAAUCUGCAAAAAUUCACAUCUCUUGGAAUUCGCUGAAAAUUAUACGGUAUAGUCGAAAUUGAAUGCAGAUUUCAGAAAACAUAUUAGUUUCCCCAUUAAUUAUAUAAUUUCUUAAUAAGACGCAAUUAAAGUGGUUAUGGGUAUGGCGCAUCUGUUUUUAGUCCCAAGUAAAAUCGAAAUAGAUUUUUGUGAUCCUCGUUGAUUUUUUUAUCUAAAUCAUACAUGUUCAUGGUAUGGACAAAUGCAAGAAGAUUGAACAAAAUGCUAAAGCGCAACAAAAGAAUAAAAGACUUCCAACUUCCGCCCACAAAGAUGUCUAAGGAAAAACCUAAAGUUGGAGCUUGAUACAUUUUUUUCUCAUGGAAAGUUUUGUAAAACAAAUGGCAAACUGGUUAAAUGAAACUUGAUUCCUUUUUUUUUAAUUCGUUAAUUAAUUUUUGUGUGUGUGUUUUUUGUUCUGUUAUGGUGGAACGGUGGAGAGAAAAGAUGUUCGCGAAUAUGGGCAAUUCGAGAUCCAAGUAGAAACGGAGUGCAUAUUGUUUAAAGGCUUAUAGACUGGUAUUACUGACCAAUGUUGACAGCGUAGACAAGGUUACAGAAAGGUUGCAUUGAUCUUAAUGGCUGGUGUACAAUUACAGGACGAAAAAUGUCAUCAGCUGACGGAACAGCUGACAUGCCCAUAAAAAUUCUACGGAGUUAGUUAUUUCUCCCCUAGAUGUCUUGAAAAUAUACGGGAAAUGUCAGCUGUCCCGUCAGCUGUUCCAUUUCGCGUGGCUUCUGACUGAGGAUGGCUGCUGAUACGAACUUCUCUCUUCUUGAAAUUUUACCACCUAUGCCGUGUGUUUUGAGUUGCAUCUGGUGAAUUCAAUCAAUGCUGAGUUGUUCAAGGAGGAACAUGGCUUGGCUUUGCUAGCACGUUUUUCAUCUCCGUUAGUCUGAUAUACCCAUUUUGUUUCAAAGGUCUUUAUCACCUGAUGUACUGUUGUGGCUGUGGAAUCAUUCAGUGACUUGGUUCAAUCCAGGACUUGGUUUCUUCGAAAAUGGUUUACAGUUUUAAUUUGCAGAGAUCCUGGAGGCACCUGAUGUGUUUCAUUGGCGUUGGAGUCACUCGGUGACAGAAGAGAAUGCCUCUAAUGUUAUGUUGUCAGUGUAAAUAAAACAUAUUCAGUAUCA